Molecule: unclassified non-coding RNA, 177 nt
Filed under: uncultured Agaricomycetes
Lineage: Eukaryota; Fungi; Basidiomycota; Agaricomycetes
Description: sequence contains ITS2
Source: RNAcentral
GAAUUACUCUCAACCCUAACUUUGGUUUUGGUUGGAUCUGGGGGUCUGCCGUGUUUUCAUGGCUCCUCCUAAAUGUGUUAGCUCAUUGGUUGUGGCCGUUGUCAGCUUGAUAUCAAGUCUAUGCUUCAUCGGUUCAUGUUCCAGAGCUUAUAAUCGUCUUCGGACAAUUAUUCUGAC